This 419-nucleotide ribosomal RNA is filed under the name bacterium. RNAcentral's name for it is "partial 16S ribosomal RNA". It matches the Rfam family "Bacterial small subunit ribosomal RNA", at positions 355 to 776 of the family's 1533-position model. The record is from RNAcentral.
UGGGGGAUAUUGCACAAUGGGCGAAAGCCUGAUGCAGCGACGCCGCGUGGGGGAUGAAGGCCUUCGGGUUGUAAACUUCUUUUGCUCUGAACAAGGCAUGCUAAUGGGUGUGUUGAGUGUAGGGGUUGAUUAGCGCCGGCUAACUACGUGCCAGCAGCCGCGGUAAUACGUAGGGCGCGAGCGUUGUCCGGAAUUAUUGGGCGUAAAGGGCGUGUAGGUGGCUGGUUGCGUCUGUCGUGAAAGCUCAUGGCUUAACUGUGAGUUUGCGGUGGGUACGGGCUGGCUUGAGUGCAGUAGGGGAGGCUGGAAUUCCUGGUGUAGCGGUGGAAUGCGCAGAUAUCAGGAGGAAUACCGGUGGCGAAGGCGGGUCUCUGGGCUGUUACUGACACUGAGGAGCGAAAGCAUGGGGAGCGAACAGG